ACGAACGCUGGCGGCAGGCUUAACACAUGCAAGUCGAACGCCCCGCAAGGGGAGUGGCAGACGGGUGAGUAACGCGUGGGAAUCUACCCAGCUCUACGGAAUAACUCAGGGAAACUUGUGCUAAUACCGUAUACGUCCGAUAGGAGAAAGAUUUAUCGGAGUUGGAUGAGCCCGCGUUGGAUUAGCUAGUUGGUGGGGUAAUGGCCUACCAAGGCGACGAUCCAUAGCUGGUCUGAGAGGAUGAUCAGCCACAUUGGGACUGAGACACGGCCCAAACUCCUACGGGAGGCAGCAGUGGGGAAUAUUGGACAAUGGGCGCAAGCCUGAUGCAGCCAUGCCGCGUGAGUGAUGAAGGCCCUAGGGUUGUAAAGCUCUUUCAACGGUGAAGAUAAUGACGGUAACCGUAGAAGAAGCCCCGGCUAACUUCGU
This 429-nucleotide ribosomal RNA is filed under the name uncultured bacterium. RNAcentral describes it as "bacterial SSU rRNA". It matches the Rfam family "Bacterial small subunit ribosomal RNA", at positions 29 to 506 of the family's 1533-position model. The record is from RNAcentral.